Molecule: ribosomal RNA, 238 nt
Filed under: uncultured bacterium
Lineage: Bacteria
Description: partial 16S ribosomal RNA
Rfam family: Bacterial small subunit ribosomal RNA
Source: RNAcentral
CGGCGGACGGGUGAGUAACGCGUGGGUAACCUGCCUCAUACAGGGGGAUAACAGUUGGAAACGGCUGCUAAUACCGCAUAAGCGUACAGUACCGCAUGGUACCGUGUGAAAAACUCCGGUGGUAUGAGAUGGACCCGCGUCUGAUUAGCUAGUUGGUGGGGUAACGGCCUACCAAGGCGACGAUCAGUAGCCGACCUGAGAGGGUGACCGGCCACAUUGGGACUGAGACACGGCCCAA